AAGUCGUAACAAGGUUUCCGUAGGUGAACCUGCGGAAGGAUCAUUAUCAAAUGCUCUUAAGCAUCCCACCUUGUGUGCACCGUAUCUACAUGUCCUUUGGUGUCUGUGGACACCUCUGGACUGUUAUACACACUUUUUCUUAUUAUCAGAUUGUCGGAUUACUAUUAUUUCGAAAGAAAUAAAUGUUGAAAUUGAAAACAACUUUUAACAAUGGAUCUCUUGGCUCUUG
This 229-nucleotide unclassified non-coding RNA is filed under the name fungal sp. RNAcentral's name for it is "partial internal transcribed spacer region". The stretch from base 1 to 46 matches the Rfam family "Eukaryotic small subunit ribosomal RNA", at positions 1786 to 1831 of the family's 1831-position model. Lineage: Eukaryota; Fungi. The record is from RNAcentral.